Tympanuchus pallidicinctus (lesser prairie-chicken) is the source of this 187-nucleotide long non-coding RNA. RefSeq lists it as uncharacterized. The transcript has 2 exons. NCBI's taxonomy places the organism in Eukaryota, Metazoa, Chordata, Aves, Galliformes, Phasianidae. The record is from RefSeq and is a predicted model, not a curated record.
CCACUGCUUGGUCCCUCAGCCCCAGGGAGAGCUGUGUCCUCAGGAGCACUGACUGCUGUGUCCCACGGCUGUGAUGCACUGAGGGAUGGGGAUACAGGUGCUUCGGGGGCAGCACCGAGGUCGGGACUCACUGCUGCCUCUGCUCCAUUGUUGGCCUCAAACACAGCACCAUCCACAGCAGCUGGAG